UCAGCGGCGGACGGGUGAGUAACGCGUGGGAACGUGCCUUCUGGUUCGGAAUAACUCAGGGAAACUUGAGCUAAUACCGGAUACGCCCUUUUUGGGGAAAGGUUUACUGCCGGAAGAUCGGCCCGCGUCUGAUUAGCUAGUUGGUGGGGUAACGGCCUACCAAGGCGACGAUCAGUAGCUGGUCUGAGAGGAUGAUCAGCCACACUGGGACUGAGACACGGCCCAAACUCCUACGGGAGGCAGCAGUGGGGAAUAUUGGACAAUGGGCGCAAGCCUGAUCCAGCCAUGCCGCGUGAGUGAUGAAGGCCUUAGGGUUGUAAAGCUCUUUUAUCCGGGACGAUAAUGACGGUACCGGAG
RNAcentral lists this ribosomal RNA (357 nucleotides) under Methylobacterium sp. H5.106. RNAcentral's name for it is "bacterial SSU rRNA". It matches the Rfam family "Bacterial small subunit ribosomal RNA", at positions 92 to 483 of the family's 1533-position model. Lineage: Bacteria; Pseudomonadati; Pseudomonadota; Alphaproteobacteria; Hyphomicrobiales; Methylobacteriaceae. The record is from RNAcentral.